GACGAACGCUGGCGGCGUGCUUAACACAUGCAAGUCGAGCGGUAAGGCCCUUCGGGGUACACGAGCGGCGAACGGGUCGAGUAACACGUGGGUAACCUGCCCUGUACUCUGGGAUAAGCCUUGGAAACGAGGUCUAAUACCGGAUACGACUACGGAUCGCAUGAUCUGGUGUGGAAAGUUCCGGCGGUACAGGAUGGACC
RNAcentral lists this ribosomal RNA (200 nucleotides) under uncultured bacterium. RNAcentral's name for it is "partial 16S ribosomal RNA". It matches the Rfam family "Bacterial small subunit ribosomal RNA", at positions 28 to 231 of the family's 1533-position model. The record is from RNAcentral.